This 366-nucleotide ribosomal RNA is filed under the name uncultured organism. RNAcentral describes it as "bacterial SSU rRNA". It matches the Rfam family "Bacterial small subunit ribosomal RNA", at positions 526 to 896 of the family's 1533-position model. The record is from RNAcentral.
CGGAGGAUCCAAGCGUUAUCCGGAAUCAUUGGGUUUAAAGGGUCCGUAGGCGGGUUUAUAAGUCAGUGGUGAAAGCCCAUCGCUCAACGAUGGAACGGCCAUUGAUACUGUAGAUCUUGAAUUAUUAGGAAGUAACUAGAAUAUGUAGUGUAGCGGUGAAAUGCUUAGAGAUUACAUGGAAUACCAAUUGCGAAGGCAGGUUACUACUAAUGGAUUGACGCUGAUGGACGAAAGCGUGGGUAGCGAACAGGAUUAGAUACCCUGGUAGUCCACGCCGUAAACGAUGGAUACUAGCUGUUCGGAGCAAUCUGAGUGGCUAAGCGAUAGUGAUAAGUAUCCCACCUGGGGAGUACGUUCGCAAGAAUG